UACGUAGGGCGCAAGCGUUGUCCGGAAUUAUUGGGCGUAAAGAGCUCGUAGGCGGCUUGUCGCGUCGGUUGUGAAAGCCCGGGGCUUAACCCCGGGUCUGCAGUCGAUACGGGCAGGCUAGAGUUCGGUAGGGGAGAUCGGAAUUCCUGGUGUAGCGGUGAAAUGCGCAGAUAUCAGGAGGAACACCGGUGGCGAAGGCGGCCCCCUGGACCGGUACUGACGCUGAGGCGCGAAAGCGUGGGUAGCAAACGGG
This 253-nucleotide ribosomal RNA is filed under the name uncultured bacterium. RNAcentral describes it as "partial 16S ribosomal RNA". It matches the Rfam family "Bacterial small subunit ribosomal RNA", at positions 524 to 776 of the family's 1533-position model. The record is from RNAcentral.